Calypte anna (Anna's hummingbird) is the source of this 258-nucleotide long non-coding RNA. RefSeq lists it as uncharacterized. The record is from RefSeq and is a predicted model, not a curated record. The transcript has 3 exons. Lineage: Eukaryota; Metazoa; Chordata; Aves; Apodiformes; Trochilidae.
CUGGAGAGAAGGCAGGAAAAAGAGUGUGAGCAAAAUGUAUGUUUUUCCAAGGCAAUCCUGGAGCCUUCAGAGCAGGAGAUGUUUGCCCACUCGACGUGGAUGGAAGCCCCUUCUGGCAAGCCCUCCAGGAGCCCGUGGGCAGGAGCUGUGUCCUGACUUCUCUGCAAUACCUGAAAAAGCUUGGGUUUUGUUAUGGGCAGCUCAGCAGACAGCAGUGAGACUCAGUGCCUGAGGCAAGUUGCUGCUUUUAAAUUCUCU